RNAcentral lists this ribosomal RNA (480 nucleotides) under uncultured bacterium. RNAcentral's name for it is "partial 16S ribosomal RNA". It matches the Rfam family "Bacterial small subunit ribosomal RNA", at positions 30 to 506 of the family's 1533-position model. The record is from RNAcentral.
AUUGAACGCUGGCGGCAUGCUUUACACAUGCAAGUCGAACGGUAACAGCACUUCUGUGGCUGACGCGUGGCGAACGGGUGAGUAAUACAUCGGAACGUGCCUAGUAGUGGGGAUAACUACUCGAACGAGUAGCUAAUACCGCAUGCGAUCUAAGGCUGAAAGCAGGGGACCUUCGGGCCUUGCGCUACUAGAGCUGCUGAUGGCUGAGUAGGUAGUUGGUGGGAUAAAAGCUUACCAAGCCGACGAUCUGUAGCUGGUCUGAGAGGACGACCAGCCACACUGGGACUGAGACACGGCCCAGACUCCGACGGGAGGCAGCAGUGGGGAAGGUUGGACAAUGGGCGCAAGCCUGAUCCAGCAAUGCCGCGUGCAGGAAGAAGGCCUGCGGGUUGUAAACUGCUUUUGUACGGAACGAAAAGCCCUCUUCUAAUACAGGAGGGUCAUGACGGUACCGUAAGAAUAAGCACCGGCUAACUACGU